This 256-nucleotide ribosomal RNA is filed under the name uncultured bacterium. Its description in RNAcentral is "partial 16S ribosomal RNA". It matches the Rfam family "Bacterial small subunit ribosomal RNA", at positions 526 to 776 of the family's 1533-position model. The record is from RNAcentral.
CAGAGGUCCCGAGGCGUUGUUCGGAUUCAUUGGGCGUAAAGGGGUGCGUAGGCGGCGGGGGCAAGUCUGAUGUGAAGUACUCGGGGCUCAACCCUGGAACUGCAUUGGAUACUGUCGGACUAGAGUACAGAAGGGGCAACUGGAAUUCUCGGUGUAGCGGUGAAAUGCGUAGAUAUCGAGAGGAACACCUGCGGCGAAGGCGGGUUGCUGGGCUGAUACUGACGCUGAGGCGCGAAAGCCAGGGGAGGCGAACGGG